Molecule: long non-coding RNA, 2774 nt
Filed under: Homo sapiens (human)
Lineage: Eukaryota; Metazoa; Chordata; Mammalia; Primates; Hominidae
Description: non-protein coding lnc-SEC16B-2:7
Source: RNAcentral
GAGAGCCGGACAGGGCAGCGGCCGGCACUACCGCGCUGCGAUUUGCGCAGAGCUGAAGAAGCCCCUGACCAUUGAAGAGGUGGCCCCCGCCCCGUCGGGCCUCACGAGGUCAGAGUUGAUGUCCAUUUCUGUGGAGUUAACUUUGGUGAUAUUUUGAUCUGCCGUGAUCAAUAUCAGGAAAGGCCCCAUCUUCCCUUCACACCUGGAAUGGACUUUUCUGGGACAGUAUUGGAGACAGGCACAGAUGUCAGGACAGUUAAAGAGGUAAAUUAAUUGAGGGAGAUAGAGUUAUUGGCACAAGAAACUUUAAUUGUAUGGCUGAAGAAUGCGUCACUGACCAGAAGGACCUGUGGCAGAUUCCAGAAAAGGUCUCCCUAUAAGAAGCUGCUGUCCUCCCUAUAACUUAUGGCACUGCGAUUUUUGCUCUUGAGCAUUGGGCCCGUACCCAGCCUGGGUAAUAUAGCUGCUGCUGGAAGUGACGAGAAGUGCAAGCUGGCGAUGCAGAGGGGUGCGCAGUCCAGCGUGAACUACAGUCAGGGCAGCCUGAAGGAUGCACCUGGCAUGGGAGGGCAGGAUUGUGGUGGUGGGAUUUGCUGGAGGAAACAUUGCUUCUGAACCAGCCAACCUUCUGCUCCUGAAGAAUAUCUCUGCUAUGGGCCUGUACUGUGGUCAAUACAAAGAUAUGAACUUUCCCGUCUUCUCCAAGAGCCUAUCUUCAGUGCUUCAGUACUGCCAGCAAGGGUGCAUCCAGCUAUAUGUCAGAAUGGUUUUCAAGCUGGACGAGGUCAAUGAUGCCUUCCUUCAUGUGAUACAGGGGAAAUCCGUGGGCAAGGUGCUUCUCGCUCUUAAAUAAAUCCUUGCCUGAGCAGCAAAGUUAACAUGUCCAGAUCAAAACUCCACAUCUUUCCCCAAAACCUGAUUUCCCUUCUGUGUUUCCAAAGGUGUUACCACUUUCCUUACUAAUCCAGGUUUAAAAUCUUGGAGUCACCUUUGAUUCUGUUUACUAAUUGCUCCUAAUUAAUAUGAUUAUAUAGUUUAUUGUCCAAACCUUUUCGAGAGUAAAAGGGUGCCAUUAGUAAUUACAUCAGGAAAACAUAUCCCAGGCAAACCAGGAUAUAUGGUCAGCCUACUUGAUGCAUUAUGAAAUGCGGUGAUUGCCGAGUUCUGUCAUUCUCACCUCUAAGAUAUCUCUCAUGUCCAUAUCCUCUUUUCCAUUCUGACUAAUUAAGCCUCAACUGCUAUUACCAGUGACCUUCUAACUGCUUUUCCUACCUUUAAGCUAUUCUCACCCCCUCCAUCCUUGUGAUGCAUUAUUGCCAUCGUGAUCUUCCCGAAGCAUAGCUCUGACUAUGGCCCAUCUCAGAAAACCUACAGUGGCUCACCAUUGCCUGAUGGUGGAGUUCAGAGCCCUUGAGCUAGCAUUUCAUUAUGACCGUGAUUUUUCCCCGCACCACUUUCCAGCCUUGUGGUCCACAAUUCCACUGGGCCUUAAGUAUGUACUGAACUUUCCUGCCUCCCUCAUUUUGCUCUGCUUGUGCAAUUUUUUCCACCCUCCAUCUCUGUCAAACGUAAGCCUUCCUGACCUCUAAGACCUACCUUUGUCAUGUACCUUUACCCUCAGGCAAGGAGCAAUCUCUUCUCUUCCUCUUCUACCUUGCUGUAGCUUCUCCCCAAGGAUUUAUCACAUUCUGCCUUGAAUCAUAGGGAACAGCAUGUGUAGUGGAAUGAACACAGGCCUCUGAAUCCAAGAUACGAGUUUAAAUCCCAGCUUUGGAGGUGGUUACUUAAAGUCUCAGUGCCUUCAUUCUUCUUCCUAUAUAAAGUAGAUAUUACAAUAUCUAACUUACAGAGUCAUUGGGAGCUAUACAUGCAGCGAUUGGGUAAAGCACCUGGCACAUGGCAAGCGAUUAGCAAAUGCUGGUUACUUCUACUUCUUUCUCUUCCCUUUUCCCAGUCUAUCAUAAUUUCCUUGAGAGCAGGCACCAUGUCUUAUUUACCCUUGUAUUUCCCACAGUACUUCCCAUAGUGAGUUACCCUUAGUAAAUACUCAGUAAGUUGAAUUGAAUUUAAAUUACCUGUAAGUCUUAAAAUGUGGGAUUAAAUUAAGAAUAUAUUGUCCUGGAAAUACCCAAAUGUCUAUUGAUGGAUGAAUGGAUAAACAAAAUGUGGUAUACACAUAAUGGAAUAUUAUUCAGCCUUAAAAAGGAAUGAAAUUCUGACAUGUGCUACAAUAUGAUGAACCUGGAAGACAUUAUAUGUGAAAUAAGCCAGACAGAAAAGGACAAAUACUAUAUGAUUCCACUUAUAUGAAGUACCUAGAGUAGUGUAAUUCAUAGAAACAGAAAGUACAGGUUGACAUCCAAAAUCUGAAAUGAGAAAUGCUCCAAAAACUGAAACUUUUUCAAUGCCGACACGAUGCUCAAAGAAAAUGCUAAUUGGAGCAUUUCAGAUUUUGGAUUUUUGGAUUUGGGAUGCUCAACUGGCAUAAUGUGAAUAUUCCAAACUCUGAAAAAAUCUGAAGUCUAAAACACUUCUGGUCUCAAGGAUUUUGGAUAAAGGAUACUCAAUGUGCAACAUGUAGAAUGGUGGUUGCAAGGUGGGAGGAGAGAAUGGAGAGUUACUGUUUAAUGAUACAAUGUUUCCGUUUGGGAAGAUGGAAAGUUUUGGAGAUGUGUGAUGGUUAUGGUUGCGCAACAAUGGGAAGGUACUUAGUACUGCUUAACUGUGCACACUUAAAAAUGGUAAAAAUGAUAAAUUUUGUGUAUGUCUUAAAA